RNAcentral lists this ribosomal RNA (238 nucleotides) under uncultured bacterium. RNAcentral describes it as "partial 16S ribosomal RNA". It matches the Rfam family "Bacterial small subunit ribosomal RNA", at positions 333 to 588 of the family's 1533-position model. The record is from RNAcentral.
UUUGACCUACGGGACGCAGCAGUGGGGGAUAUUGGACAAUGGGGGAAACCCUGAUCCAGCGAUGCCGCGUGAGGGAAGAAGGGUUUAGGAUUGUAAACCUCUGUGGAGGGGGACGCUAAUGACGGUACCCCUUUAGGAAGCCACGGCUAACUACGUGCCAGCAGGCGCGGUAAUAUGUAGGUGGCGAGCGUUGUCCGGAAUUACUGGGUGUAACGGGAGUGUAGGCGGGAAAGACAGU